RNAcentral lists this long non-coding RNA (302 nucleotides) under Homo sapiens (human). RNAcentral's name for it is "HSALNT0408917". Lineage: Eukaryota; Metazoa; Chordata; Mammalia; Primates; Hominidae. The record is from RNAcentral.
AGAGUCUCACUCUUGUCACCAGGCUGGAGUGCAUUGGCGCGAUCUUGGCUCACUGCAUCCUCUGCCUCCCGGGUUCAAGCGAUUCUCCUGCCUCAGCCUCCCGAGUAGCUGGAAUUAUCGGUGCUGGACAAAGAUCAGACCAGAUGUGAGGAAUGCUGAAAAUGAAAGGCCUCAAGAGGCAUUGUACGCUUCUGCUUUCCCUCUUGAAACUCUGCCAUGCCAUGAAAACAAGUCUGCACUAGCCUGCUGGAGGAAGAAAAACCAUGUGGAUGGGAGCCUGGCUAUUCCAGCACAUUCCCAAA